GCACCAUUUUAGAGGCACACUUGGAAAGGACUCAGUUGGAUCCAAAAUAGCCAAUCCAAACUCAAGAUUCUGUCAGGGAUCAGUGAGCUUUGACAGGUGUCCUUGCAUUUCACUAACGACAACUGGGCCCUACGGAGAGCUCUGUACAAGGACGUCAUGGUGGAGGUUCAUGAGAUGGUGGCCUCUCAGGGAGAUGUUUGGGGGGUCCUGGAUGAGGAGGAGCCAUCAGACGUCUGGCCAGAAAGAGCUGAGGAGCAAGAGAAGGAAAGGAAGUUGGGGGUUCAAGAUGGAGCCAACAAACA
Podarcis muralis (Common wall lizard) is the source of this 302-nucleotide non-coding RNA. Lineage: Eukaryota; Metazoa; Chordata; Lepidosauria; Squamata; Lacertidae. The record is from RefSeq and is a predicted model, not a curated record.